This is a long non-coding RNA of Rhineura floridana, 2628 nucleotides long. RefSeq lists it as uncharacterized. The transcript has 5 exons. The record is from RefSeq and is a predicted model, not a curated record. Lineage: Eukaryota; Metazoa; Chordata; Lepidosauria; Squamata; Rhineuridae.
CCUCUUCAAUUAAACUCUUUAGAGGAGAGACUGAAGCAUAAUCAGGUAGAAAAUGCAUCGGUCUUUCACCUCUUGCGCGACUCCAAGGUGGACGGCACAAAACCUUUCUUUCGCCUCCUCUCCAGGGGGAGUUGUCCCGCCCACCAAAUCUAAGCUUUCUGCAGAGGCUCUUCCUUCUGAGCCUUAUAUCUCCAUAUUUGUGAGUUUUUAGUAGUUCUAUUUCUCUUUGUGUGGAUGUAUGGUUCUGAUUCCCAGAGGUGCAAUCGGUCAGGGUAGCCGGGAUCGUAGACCCGUUACUUUUUUGGGAGCAGGGUUCCAGCCAGGUCCCUGCGUAUCAGCAUGAAAAAGGAAUGUGUUAGCCACUGAAAAGAGACCUUGCCCUUUCAUGCUGAUUGGAGGCAAUCAGCGUGAAAGGAGGUGUGUCAGCCAUUGAGAAGACUCUUCUCAGUAGCUAACCCACAGCCUCCCGUCAUGCUGAUCUUGCUCCUAGGGGCCUCUGUUGUCGUGGAGUGUGGACUUGCAAUAUGACAGCGAGAACAAGGAGAGAAGGGACAGUAGGAAAAGGAGCGUGGCUGUGACGGGCGUAGUGUGACUAUGAUGAAGGGAUCCUACACUUCUGAAUUUGACACUACUGGUGGUUCCCUGGGUGCCAGCCUGCGUUCCUUUCAGUUACUUAGUGAAUAGCAUUUUUUUUCCUUUCACUGCGUCCUGUUCAUGUUCCUUAGGGCAGGGUUUGUUGGCCGCUGGCUGAUUUCAGCGGUUCUGUUGUUUGAGGGAGUGCGACUUGUGCUGAGACGGCUGGUGGCUCGGCGGUUUCUGCUUCCCGCUUAUUGCAUGUCUGCCAUUUGUCGUACCAGUGGUUGCAGCGACUUGGACAUUGUGCCGUUGUGACCACCUUCUCUUCUGUUGCUCCAUUUCCUCCCUUUCAGAGGGGAUACGGAGCGGCGGUUUCCUCAGAGGCGGCACUUCUAUUUUAUCCGCUUGCGGCUGCCGCCGUUUGCUCCUUUCGGCUGCGUGCGCAGUGAUUCCCUUGCCCCUUCGACUUAUUGACCUUCUCCGACCGCUAUCGAUAUCAACAAUUGAUGGAGGGGGGGUUCCCGCUGCCACUCUGUCUGCGGCUAGGAUUGCGUGGCGUGCCAUUGCGCGCCAUCUGUGUUUUCCCGCCGUUAGGAGCAGAAGAGGGCCUGCGUACUGGCUUCCUCCAUUGGUUCCAUGGCUUCUUCCUGCACACACAGCCAGGAUGCUCUUUUUGGUGGGGAGGUUUCUCCAGUGCUGAUGACACACAUUUUCAUCUUGCAAGGAGGCUUAAUGAGCAAGUCCUAUGCAUGUCUACUCAGAAGCAAGGCAUAUUCAUUUUAAUGGGAUUCACUCGCAAGCAAGGUGACACUAGGAAGGGGAAGGCAGAGAGGUGGUUGUGACAGACAUUCACAGAAGUUGAUAGAAAAAGAGAAAAAAGCAAGAAAGUGGGAGAAGACUCAGCUCUCUAGUUUAUCUACACUCUAUUUCCGAACCCGGUCAGCCUGUGUGCAGUUAACCAAGGAUUCAAAGAAUCAGGCAACAACUGAAGAAGAUUUCUAAUGACUGUCAGGACUCCCCAACCUUGAAGAAAAAUAACAUGGGACAUUAAAACAGCAUUUGCCAAAAACGGAUGGUCCCCGAGAGAUUCAUGCACCACUAGGCUGGGGGAGAGAAUUUCUGCAACACCAAAACUACCAGUGUACGUUUCUCAUUGUUUUGUGACUGACAACCACUGACUUAAAAAAAUAAUGUUGUGAACUUCCAGUUGAGGGUUGUCUAAAACCAAGGCCUACAGGAUGGACAUUAUCAAGGUUAGAAAAAUGUACAACAUGGUGCAUAAUAUCAUUAGGAACAGAAACAAUUUUAUUUAAUUAUGGUAGUAAAACUAUAAUUUCAUAUAUAUGUUGAUAACAGCAAAAAUAUACUAAAUGGAAAUCUGCUAAUCUUUUAUUGUUGUGUUCCAAAUAUUUUACUGUUAUAUUUUUGUCCUGCCUUGUGCCUUGAGGUCCGUUGAGGAGAUGUGAGAUAUGAAUGGAUUGAUUAAUUAAUUAUCUGAUGCCCCUUAGAGAAUGGUUUAAUAAACGGUGGCAUGGCAGCAAGUUGGGGCACUUCCAGACUUGGCAAUAUUUUGGGGUGGGAUUCAAUCCCACACCAGCAAAUUCAGGUUGCACAAUUAUAGUUGAUUAAGAAGACUUGCAAAUCAAACUAGCUUGUUUGUGACAAGGCAAGUGAUGGAAAAUGCACUGGAACGUGUGGGAUAACACUUACUUUGUCACAAUGUCCAUCUAACCUUGCUGCAAACAAAUCAGAAUGAAUGCUCAUUAAAAAGCCAAUGCCAUCUAAUCUCCCUGCAAACAAAUCAGGAUAAAUGCUCAUCCAAUAGAUUUUUCUGGACGCACCCUUAGUUAACAAACUAGAAACAAAAUAGGCAGGAUCUGUUUUUUAAAGGCAAUGUUUAUUCUGUUUGGGGGCCCUUUGUGAGAAUACUGAUGAGUCAUAAGUUAAACAAAAUACAGAUAUAUGAGCUUUAAUUCAUAUUCUGAUACAUCUGAAUUCCUCUUCUCUUAUACUGGUUUCAUUUGAGUUUUCUUUCUAUUGUGGGGGAGCGGG